Molecule: ribosomal RNA, 1151 nt
Filed under: soda lake metagenome
Description: bacterial SSU rRNA
Rfam family: Bacterial small subunit ribosomal RNA (bases 506-1151)
Source: RNAcentral
UUAAGUUCCCCGCCUGGGGAGUAUGCUCGCAAGAGUGAAACUCAAAGGAAUUGACGGGAGUUCACACAAUAGGUUUUUUUAGACCAAAAAUUCAUGUCCGCGUUUUUUGAAAAAAACGCGGAGAUCUCGAAGAAAAUCUACGAUUUUCUUCGACAUGAAACUUAUUCAUGACCGCAUAGUCUGCCUAACAAAUACGCAAGUAUUUCGUAAAUGUGAAUUCCCAAAAAACAAAAACAAAACUGGCUCAAAACGGCGGAAACAUUAAUUUUUAAUACAAUGCCGUGGGUAAUUUUAACUCUAUCUUUUUAUUGAUAUUGAUAAAUCCUGUAACGACUUAUUCUACUCCUUGUCAGGAAAUUGAUUGAUGAUAGUUUAUUAUAAUCAAUUAAAGAAUAGAUUACAUCUUAUACAUGUAAUAAUACGCCAGCUCUUUUAUAGAGAUUAAUUUAUAGAACUGAAUAAUAAAAAAAUUAUCUUUAAAAGGUUGACAACCUUGAAUAAAAGAUGAAAGCAUAGUCUGUUUGAUAUCGCAAGGUAAUCAUAUACAAUCUCUUAACGGGAUUAUGCGGUUUAAUUUGAUGCAACGCAAAGAACCUUACCAGGGUUUGACAUAGUUUGAAAUCCUUUAGAAAUAGAGGAGUGCUUAGUUCUUAUGGAAUUAAGAAUCAUUUUACAGGUGGUGCAUGGCUGUCGUCAGCUCGUGCGUUGACGUGUAUGGUUAAGUCCUGCAACGAGCGCAACCCUCGUCUUUAGUUACUUUCCAAGUUCUCUAAAGAGACUGCGCGCGCAAGCGCUGAGGAAGGUGAGGAUGACGUCAAGUCAGCAUGCCCCUUACACCCUGGGCUACACGCGUAAUACAAUGGCUAAGACAAUCAGAAGCUAACCUGCAAAGGUACGCCAAUCUGCCAAACUUAGCCCUAGUUCGGAUUGUAGGCUGCAACUCGCCUACAUGAAGCCGGAAUCUAUAGUAAUCGCCAGUCAGCCAUAUGGCGGUGAAUACGUUCCUGAACUCUGUACACACCGCCCGUCACACCAAGAAAGAUGGCAGUGGAUUAAGUUAUUAGUCUAACCUUACGGAAGACGGUACCCACUCCAAGGCUAUUGAUCAUGGUGAAGUCGUAACAAGGUAGGGGUACUGGAAGGUGUCCCUG